GGAACUUCUUCCUGUCUGAGGGGAGGGAUCUGGAACUAAGUCCUCUCAUUGGACUCAGGCUUCUAGAAGAGAGAAGGCUCUGAUAUCUGGAUCACCUGCCACCUCUUAGCCUUUACUAGCCCAAGGCCAACAUCCCUCCCUCCUCCAGCCAGGUACGGAGGCUGGAAGCUCCUUGCCACCCAGGCCUGUCCCUCUCCCUAGGUAGAGCAGUGGUCCUCAGACCUGUGGGCUGGAACCCUCUGAGGGACAAACGACCCUUUCGCAGAUAUCAGAAUAUUAUAAUUCAUCACAGUAGCAAAGUUACAGUUAUGAAGCAGCAGCGAGGAUAAUUUUACGGUUGGGGGGUCAGCACAACCUGAGGAACUGUAUUAAAGGGUCACAGCGUUAGGAAGGCUGAGAACCACUGGGCUAGGGGAAAGAGCUCCCAGGAGAGAAGUUCAGGUUUGAAAAGGAGAUAGCGGGCUGGAGAGAUGGCUCAGUGGUUAAGAGCACCCGACUGCUCUUCCAGAGGUCCUGAGUUCAAUUCCCAGCAACCACAUGGUGGCUCACAACCAUCUGUAAAGAGAUCUGAUGCCCUCUCCUGGUGUAUCUGAAGACAGCUACAGUGUACUUAUAUAUAAUAAAUGAAUAAAUAAAUCUUGAAAAGGAGAUAGUAUGGAGGGACCAAGGAGGAGAGGAGGACAGCAUGUGAGGAAGGGUGUGAGCAGUGGAUAAGCUUACCAAGCCUUCCACGCUCUCCUGAGAGACAGACAGACCUCCAUGACCUCACUGAGCUUCCUCAGCUGAGCUGGGUGUCAGAAUCUCUGUCCCCUGGCUGUCAGCCUAGUUAUCGAGGUCCUACUGGCCUGGAAACCGUCUGCCUGAGCACUGUCUGGCCUGCAUAUCCCAGAGCAGGUACAAUGUUAGUCCCAGCCUGCCAAGUGUGGCACGUGUACCUUUAAAAGGCUCCCACCAUCCAGCCAGCUCUCUCACUCUGUCUCUUUCUGUCUCUCUGUCUGUCUCAGUAAGUCUGUCCAAGCUGUCUGUCUGCCUGUCUCACCCCCACUCUGAGGUGGCCUUUCGCUCCCCACCCCUCAGUAAAUCUCUUGCGUGAGAUCUGUUGCACGAUGUGAUAUCUACUGUCCACCUUGGCCCCGACCACAGACACCCUAACAGUGUCCUCUGCACUGGGGCAGCCUGGAGCAGGACAUAGGAAUCCUGGCCAUGGCUUGGCAUCCAACGUCACACAUUUCAACACCCUGCUCUCACUUACUGACAAGGGUGACAGAUAUUUAGGGGGAGGGCCCUGGACACACUCAGAAUACAGAAGGAGGCAGAACUGAACUUCACCUAUGUUAAUGUGGUCCCCACCAAGGAUGGUGUGGGGACUUCUGCUUGGACUUUUCAUCUGAAAAGCCCGAGUUCUUCUUUCUCUGAGAAAGCUCAUGUCUGAACAGUUUGACCCAUGGCACAUACAACACAGCCUUCAGUCCCCACAACCCUCAGUACCACCCUGCCUACAUCAUAUCCACCUGUCCGUCUCUACCACACCUGUCACCUCUGCCACCACGGACAGGUGUGUGCUGGUGCCUGAUGCCAUCUUCUGCGAGGAGAGAUUCUCGGCCAGCUAGGGGACAGAGUCCACAAACUUUGCUUCUCCCUGCAGUGUCCCCUAGACCUGGUGGUAGGAAAGGCUGUGUUCUUCCUCUUCUGACCCCUACCGUCCAUGCUUUAGAGGGCCUCUUCCAUGACUGCAGACCGAGCUUCGAGAGACAGAAUGGAAACAAAACUAGUCCCAUUUCCCAUGCCCCAUCUCCUGACGCUGGUGUCCCUGCAUUGCCCUAGAUGGUGCAAGCCAUACCCAUUUCUGCCCUUGGAAGGACACUGCCCAAACUUCACAGGCUAGAGGAGGCCAGGGAGGGCAGACGUGUUUUCCAGAUACUGCCAACCUUGCAACCCACCCAACGCACACUUGCUGGAUGCCUACUGUGUGUGUCAGUGGACGUGUAAGAUACUCCUUCCUUCAGUAAGACCUCUUUACCUUGAUCAUCAUCUGUAAAAUCCAGGCUAUAACAGGAUCACCCUGGGACGGGGGUCUCACUAGCAGCAGCAGUACCCUAGGCUGAUCUGGAAUGCCCGAUCCUCUUGCUUCCCAUUCUGGAGCACUGGGAUUACAGGUAUCUGGCAUCACAACAGCCUUUCGAAAUCCUUAGUGAGAUUUGUGCGGGGUGGGGGUGGGGUGGGGUGGGGAGGUGUUGGGCACCCGGUGUAAAUUGUUAUCCAAACCACAGACAGCGUGAUAGCUAUUACUAAGGUGGCUUGGGUCCCUGUCCCCUGUUCACAAUAUUUGUGUGUCUCUUUUCUUCCUCAUCUCUUCUAUCCCCGGUCCCCAAGUCUGAACCCCACGCUGGGCUGAAGCCUCCUAAGGGGUCCCCACCCAGCAUGCUCCCCUCCAGGUGCACAGAGACCUUAUUCUGCAGGCGGGCGAUCCCUUGCCCCGUUCCUAGGGGACCCUGCCCGGUGACCUCAUGACCCAUGUUUGCUCGGGCAAAGGGGCCUUUUGUUCCUGGGGCCAGGCCUGCAGGGCCGUGCAGCUCCCAACCGAAUCCAGCUAAUUACGGUCCACAGGGCAGUCGGGGCGCGCACUCGCCCACCACUUUCCCACGGCCGCGAAGAAAGCCCCUCAGUGAGGCUCGAAGAACAGAGGGCAAUUCAGCGUCUUCUGCUACCCGGGGCCUCCGUGUCUUCUGCUGACGACCUCUGCUUGUCCUUGUCUGGCCGAGCGCAGACACACUGUUUGCUCUGAUUUUCUUUCUUUCUCCAUCUAUGUCUUUUCUUCUUUUUUCCUCCAUCUAUGUGUCUCUCCAGUUCGUUCCCUCAUCUGUGUUUUCCUAGGUGCCCAUAUGUAUAGCUGUCCAUUCCGAGGCUUACUGUGUCUGUCCCUGAACCUUCCUCACGCCAGGAUCAACCUCCCUGAUCUGGAGGGGGGGGUCCAUUCUCGGAGCCCCACCAUCUUGAAUUUUGGCUGCGCUAGUCCGCAGCUUCAGGUGUCCCUCGGCCCUUGGUCUCUCCUAGAUGGAAAGAAAUCGGAAAAGCCCUGGGGAGAGUUAGGGGAUACAAAAUGGUAACAUUCAUAAGUCUGUGAGUUCAAUUCCCAGGAUGAGAGGGAGGGACGGGAGGAGGGAAGCUAAUCAUUCCGGGGGCCCAGAUUUUUUGUGAAUGGCCUUGGGUGAAAUUUUGGGCCUCCUCUAGUGAGGAAAGCUCCAAGUUAGAGGGAAGCAUUUGAGGUCCGCGCACGCGCGCGCGCUCACACACACACACACACACACACACACACACACACACACAUAUGCAGAGGUUUUUAUAGCACCGUCUGAGUACAGGGGCUAGUGGAGAGCCCUUGGAGGAUCCGUGUGUUGUGGCCAAUUCCUACCCUUGAGGGGACUCAGUUGGGGUGGCCAAGGAAAGGGCCUGAUGUUUUGGUCUGUUCUAGCCACUGUUGAAUUUGGACAUUGUUUAGAACUCAGUGGAAGACCAUGUCCAAAGACUACUGGACUAGUCAUGAGUUGGUUACUCCUGGAAAUUUUAGGACCCAAAAUCCACCCCACCCCCUGGAAAUUUUAGGACCCAAAAUCCACCCCACCCCCAUCCCACCCCCAUCUGCUCCCUGGCAAGAUUUUUCUGGAGCCCUGGCUGUCCUGGAACUUGCUCUGUAGACCAGGCUGGCCUUAAACUCAGGGUUCCACCUGCCUGUGCCUCCUGAGUGCUGGGAUUUAAAGGUGUGCAACAGGCAGAGAAAAAAAAAAUCACAAAUGGUGUGAAGAGCGCCGUGUUGUUCUAGUUGGGGAGGCCAUGGGAAAAACAAACAUGGGAGCCCGGCUGUUAGAUGGGGUAGCACACGCAGGAAAGAUGCAAAGGGCUGUUGGGAUCUAGGUGAGGAAGGUGGCUUUUCUGGAUUGGUGGCAUUUCAGUGAAAUCUUGAAGUGAGGUCUGGUGCUAUUUCCAGGGCAAUGAACCUAACAGGCUCACAGGCAGGUUCCCAUCAGAGCUGCCAUGCGGGUCUUCUGGGACAUUUGGUGAUUCUUGAGAACUGCCUGGCUCUCCCCUGGAUAGCAGCAGGAAAAGGCUGGUGAGAGAACCUGGGCUAUAGGAAGUCUCUGCCCUUUAGUUUUCCUGCCUUUGUUCCCUCUGCUGGGGAUGUUCUGACCUGGUAAUCCUUGAACGAAUAGACCAUAGGUGACACGCGGGGGAAAGGCCCCUAGACAUGGACUGGCAGUCUGUGUUCCAUAGGAAAGUAGGAUCCUCCUCUGUGCAGGGAAACCAAGAGCUUCUUUGUAUCCAGGUAACUGAGGACAAAUGAUUAGUGUGGUGCUGUGAGCUUAUGAAUCACCAGCUAACACAGGGUUGUGGGUAUUUGGAUCAGGAGGCAGGAAAUAGACAGCAAAGUGUGGCCUCCAGAAGGCUCGCAUUGACCUGGACAGAGUAGGAGAAGGUGGGAGGCAGAAGACAGGACAUUUGCAGUCACAGUAGGACCUGAGAACCCCAGCCUGAGUGGUGAGUGGAGAGGUAUUGGGUACAUGAGGGCAACAGAGGAGGCUGGUAGCUAUUCUCCGCUUCUCACUACUCUUCUCACUGACAAAUCCAGAGGAGACUGGCUCUGGUUAGAAUAUCUCUGAGUGUGAGCGGCCCCUCAUCCUGCCUAGCCUCGGUGAGCUUGACUCAGGGGCCCUGGCAACCCUCCACCCUGGGCCUUCCUCCAUAAGCCAUGCUGUGUGGCCGGUGUGAAACAGUGGUGUGGUUCUGUAUAGGACCGAAGACAGGAAACUCCUGCUGGGAAUUAGAGCAGGGGUGGAGAGUAAUAGGUGGUGUGACCAAGUUUUUUGUGUGCUUUUUCUUCAUUCUACUUUUGAAAAGUUGCAACAACAACAACAACAACAACGUCAAAGUCCCAUGGGGUUUGGGACUGCGGUUCAGAAGGGGCUAUAAAGGUUCUGUGUGCUCAUCACACAUGGGGUAGGGUUAGAAGUUACCUGAGUGCGUCUACCCUGAUUCCUGGGUAGCCCAUCAAUGACCAGGCUUGGACCUGCUUCUGCAGGUCCUGAAGUUUGCUUGGGCCCAACUUCCCCAGUCAUCUUCUCUACUGGUGAGCCCCUUCAAGCCUCCCUGCGGGUAAGUCAACACCAUGCCGGAAGCUAGCCAUGACCAGCUAGACGUGGACACGGCCUCACGAAGCACCUCAUCUCGUAGGAACAUCUUGUAGGAACGGAAGUGAUCAGUUCACAGCCUCUCAGAGAAUCGGUGUCAGAACCAGAAUGAGAGGACUCAGGUGUCUUAGCUUGGUCUAGGAUGUACUGGCUGAGAGGCCCGAGGCAAGCCUGACGCACCUCAGAGCAUCAGUUUCCUCUUCUCUAGACCGGACCUCUUUGCUUUUCCCAAUAGUUGUGGCUGCUUUAAGAAUCACACGGGACUAUGCGGAAAGAGGCGCGCUGAAAUAAGGUUUAAACAUAGGGGAGGAAAGGGGAAGGUUAGGGGUUUUUCUGUGGCCAGGGUAAUUAUUUUGUGUUGCAUUGCUAUGGUAGAUACGUGACACUUGUUCAUGCUUGCUAACGUGCAUGAAAGCCUACAGUGUCGAUGGUUCAGCGGCUCAAAAUGUUUGUCACGAAGCACAAUGACCCAAGUUUAAUCCCCAGGAGCAACAUAGUGGUAGAAGGGAACCAACUUCUACCCCCUCCACACAGGCACACACCCUCCUCCCUACACACAGUACAUACAAAAAUGAAGUGUGUUUAAAAAAACAACCAAACGGUAUUUUGUAGCACAAGGAGUGAGACUUUAUGCAAAUUUCAAGAAUCACUUAGAUGGUUAGAUGAUGCUAUCAUUGUUUGCAGAAAUGAACAGAACUAACUGAAGAACAUAUAUAUGUAUAUAUGUGUAUGUAUAUGUGCGUGUGUAUAUAUAUGUAUAUAUAUAUAAUUUUGAGGCAGCCUCAUUUAAGUGAAUGUUGGGAGAAGGGGGCAGUUCUGACCUAAGCGACCUUGAAAAUGAGAGAAAUGUGUUAAGGCCGGUAACAAAAGAAACCAUGCCCAUGUGCUGUCUCCAGUUGAUAAAACUUUCCUUUGGAGGAAGGAUUAGCUAGUCCCGAGUGCAGGAGUAUAGGGACUGAAUAAUUAGGCAAAUGGAUGGUGAAUGGCAGGUGCGGGGUCUCUCACUGUGGAAGCGGGAGGCUGCUGGCAGGUAAAGACUUCAGGCUAUCCUGAUCCCUAGGUCAAUGACCUAGAACUGUGGAAGCACUCGAGACCAGGGCCUCUUUGAUAUCCACACGGGUGGACAGCUACGGAAACAGUGAUGCAUUCGUGUGUGUCUGAGCAGUUAGUAGGCCCACUACACUCACAAGCUCUGUCAGCUGAGUCUAGUAGGAUUAGCAGUAGCGGUGGACACACUAAUGUCCAGAUUUGGUUCUUGGUUUCAGUCUUGGGACACUGGACUAGCCCAGUCAGUAGAGGCAUGAAACUCCUAAUUUUCAUCCUCGAUGAAGGGAACCAGGGCUUCCUGGAGAGGUUAGUGAUUCAAAAAUGCAGCCUGGAUCAUCUUCUAUUGCCAGAAUGCUGUGGAGUUACAAACACACAGACAGUGGGAGUGUGCCGAAGAAACAGAGGAGUCAUAUGAAAGCUUGCCUGGCUAACACUGGACGCAUGUGCACAACCAGAUAAAUGCAGCGGCACUAGACCGUUACCCAGAGCACAGAACGAAUACCUGAGCCUCCGUGCUUGCACGGAGGAAGGACAGACUGAAUAAACUAGAGAAAAGAUAGGAACUCCUGGUGCAGAAGAAUUGCAGGUAAUUGAGGUGACUUCCAGUCAGCACAGAUUUCAAAGAUGAAGGGAGACCUUUAUCCUAGCAGAGAGGCAUGUUCUCCCUCAGCUAGUUGUCAGAGCUAACUGACCGAGAUGUACGCCCCGUGUGACACAAUGAGAGGGCAUUUUGCCUCUGUGAUCUUCCUUUACAAACCUGGAAGUCCCAUCUAACCAUGAGAAAAAGAUUAGACAAGGGAUGUCUGAGAAGCCAUCACAGUUCAGGAGACAUGAUGACUCCGUGUAGAGAAGAAUGUUAGGUGAAGGAGCCAAGGUGACUGAAUGCAGGGGACUUACAGUUUAGUAACACUGCUUGUAACAUCACGCAUCUGAUCAGGAUGCAUCCAUAUUGGCUUCUGGGAUGUGACAAGUGAGACCCGCCAUUUUGAGGUGACACUGAGGGGAGAGACUAUGGGAACUCACCAUCCUUGGGAUUGCUCCCCAUACAUGUAAAACUCCACCAAAAUAAAAAUUCUAUGUAGAAAGCGGGAGGCCUUGUGCUAUUCUCUGCUUAUGGUGGCUGGAAUUGGAAGUGCUUUGACAGUGUUUCAAGGAAGUUCAAAGAAGUUUCAGGGUUCAGAACUCUAGACACGGAGAUGGUGUCUAAGAAGGAGGUCUGUGCUUGUCUUCGCCUGAGAAGAGGUACCACAGGACAAGAUGCCUUGAGGAUCUUCACUGUUUGGGGAGGGCGUUCGGAGCCUUGUAGGAUUUCUCGCCCUUGGCACAAAGAAGCCGAGCUGAGAGGAAGUCCAAGUGAUUAGCCACAGCUGGUGGAGGCACAGAGGCCCGUGUGCAGAGGAAGAGGCCUCCCGCUCUCAGGUCUGGCUGUGUUCCCGGUUGAUAGCAGUCUUCACUUGCUAACCAUGUAAGCCAUCUUGCAAAUGGACCCUCCCACCUAGAGAUGAGUGUCCCACAGUCACCAUCUUGUGGAGCAGAAACUAACCCUUCUGUCUUAGUUAGGGCUUUACUGCUGUGAGCAGACAUCGUGACCAAGGCAACUCUUAUAAAGGAUAACAUUUAAUUGGGGCUGGCUUACAGGUUCAGAGGUUCAGUCCAUGAUCAUCAAGGUGGGAACAUGGCGGCAUCCAGGCAGAUAUGGUGCUGGAGGAGCUGAGAGUUCUACAUCUUGUUCCAAAAGCAAAUAAGAGAAGACUGGCUUCCAGGCAGCUAGGACAAGGGUCUUAAAGCCCAUCCCCACAGCGACACACUUCCUCCAACGGGGCCACAGCUUCUAAUAGUGCCAUUCUCUGGGCUAAGCAUGUACAGACCAUCACACCUUCUCAUCGUGACCUUCCCAAUGUAGAUUCAUGAGGUGACAAGGAUGUAUCGAGCUACAGAGUUUUGCACGGCAAUCUGAGCAUCCGAUGGCAGGCCCUGAUGGCCGCUGUGUACUAAAGUGUGUUGUGGUGGGGAAGCAAGCCUAGAGCCAGAGUGCCUGAGUUUGGACCCUGACUAUACCAGGUAUGAACUGUGCCACUCUCUGCAAGCUAUCCAGCAUUUCUGUGCCUUGGCUGAAUCAUCUGGAAACUGGAGAGAAUGGCGGCCGUGUAGAAUCACUAGGGAGGGUGAAAUGGAAGCCACGGGGCAUGUGCAUGACUACUCUGCCAAGCUGCGAUGUCAGCCCUUCUGGGUCCUGGGAUGUGGGCCUGCUGGGCCCUCCACUGCAUCACGUGAUCCUUGCCCAGCUCCCAUCACUUUUCCUGCAGUGCCAAAUUCCACCUGUGAGAUUGGCCUUGUUCACUCCCAUAAUGUUCUUGGGUCCCCCGGGUCCUCCCUCACCCACCCUGGUUCUGAUUGCUGGUCUGGCUUCCUUCUCUCUGGACUCUUAGGAAGUGAGAAGAAUGUCAGGUGGCAGUGGGGAGAGAGCCUGCUGUGGAGGUAGGGUGGCCGUUCUUGCUUAUUGGGUUCCCUGGGAAACAGAAGUCUUCCCAUCUAUCUCAUGGGAAGACAUGGAUUUUUGUGGCUAAAGAGUCAGGAGGGGGUGCUCAGCGAUGUAGGUGAGUUUUAGUUUUUCUGAGAAGUGCCCAAGGACACAGGAUGGUUCUUGAGAAGGCUCAGGUUUCAUCUUAGUUAGAUUUAGUCAGAGAAAGGCGAAUGUAUGCAGUGGGAUUUUCCUGCACGUCUUUGCACAGGUUCUGAGAACUCAGAAGGGCUUUGCAUCCGCCUAUGCCACGGGACUCAGGUGUCACCAACUCUAGGGGCUGCAGGGAUAUAGUGACCUCAAAUUAGAGCUUUUCAAACCAAGAUGGACACUGAAGGAGGGACUGAAAUUCUCCUGGGCUGUGAGGGUCUUUAAUGGGGAGCCUGAGUCACUAACCCCUGAAAGGCAGAGGGCAUGAUGUUCUUUUAGCCCCUAACAACUCUUACCCAGGCCUGGGAGAAUUGACCCACUUCUUCAUGUUAGGGAAACUGUGUUGCUGGUCUUGAUCGCCAAUGACUGUAGGAUUUAGAACUGGAAAGAAAGAAGACCUAGAGGAUUGGGGUACAUGGGGUACCUCUAUGGGAAGCAGAAGGGGCAGGCCCAUGGCAGGGUAGGAGACUGGCUUGAGGGAGAACUACAGAAUAGCCAGGAGAGUGUGUGCAGAGCUGACACCAGGCUCCAGUUUCUGGUGAUUUUCUCAAGCUUCUGAGUUAGUGUGUUUUGGGGACUCAUGUGGAGAGAACCCCAAAUCUGAGUCAGUGCUUUGCCAUUCACCACGGGGAUGGUGGCAGGAAAGUUCUGUUUGUACUAUAGGAACAGCAUUACUCAUGCGCACACCCUAUGAGACUAGCAUUGCAUGUAAGUGCACCCUCCCACCCCUGAACGGUUUUCACAGGAAAGCGGUUUUUGUUAGUUUUCAGGGCCUUUGAUACUUUGUAACCUGUGGGUCUGCAAGGAGCUAUAAGAGGCCUGUCCAAGCACUGAGGUGCAUCUCGGGCUCUUUUCUCUAAAAGCAAACCAGUUCAAUGGCUUCCCACACUGGCUGCUCACCGCAAACUCUGCGAGUCAGUGCAGAGUCAGUGCGAGGUCCAGAGCAGGACCACUUUUAAGGUCCAAAUGACUCCAAAAGCAGGCAGGACCCCAGCCCUCAGGCAUACUGGGCUGAGCAGCUAGAACUGCAGCGGGAAGACACAGGAUGACCAGUCCCUUCCAGGCUGGAUUUAGUCAGCUGCCUCUGCAGUGGCUGCUGACCCACAGCAGAGCACAAGGUGCCCUGUAUUCAGGGUGGCUCCAGCUUUCUGUCCUGCAGGCCUCACAAGCCGCUCAGCCUCAGUUGCUUUUGGAGCAGGGAGGUAACAAGGUCCCCCUUGCAGGUCUUGCAGGCAGCUGGCGGGAGGCCUGGAAUCUCAGCAGCUUCAUUGAGAUGCUGCCCCAGCCCUGCCCUAGUUCAGGAUUUCAGAGCCUUCGGCCCCCUGUCCCAGCCCUCCUCUGUUCCCUGUGUCACCCUGGAAACAGCUCUCGGUGACUGGUGGCCUGAGGGAGAAUGGUGGGCAGGAAAGGCCGUGGGAAGGGAGCAGGCUGCCUGAUCUGGGAAUGUCUAGCCCAACCAAGGUCAGCAUGGAGAGGCCAGGGCUGGGCCCACCCUGAAAGCCCCUUCUGAUGUUCGGUGACUUAGAGGGGAUCGUUUCUCCCUUGGUUUAUUUUCCUUGAUUUAGGCUACCAUUUUCUUAAUGACUGGAUGGAUAGAUGCUUAAACUUCCUCUGGUAGUUUGUGGGGUUUGACCUGGGCACCCCACCCCUGUGGGUGACUAAGGCAUCGCCUCCCCCUAGUUCCAGAUAAGAGAAACUACACUUUGGUACCAUCUGGGUGCCAAGUCAUCUGUAUUCCCCUCCAAGCCAGUGCACUCCUCUUCAAGCCCUGGAGGGAAGGCCUCUGGGGAUGGCUGAUCGCUCUUUGGACUUUUUCCAAGCUGAGAAGCCCUGUCCCUUUGGCUGGGCGGUAACUUACCUGUGGGCAUAUAAGUGAUAAUAGCAACAUGCUUAGUUUGGCCUUUGGAACUCUGUGGCACUGUGGAUUCUUUGUGCAGUGCCACAGACAUGGUGAACUGAGAAGGUCAGGCUCAAGUGAAUGGCCCGAGUUCAAGGCCACUGUGAUUGCCCUGGGUUCGGGCUCAGCCCCUGUGUUGUCUGGCCUCCAUGUCCCGUCAUGAGACCCAGGGUAUCUCCUGGUCCUUUGCUUUUAGGCAGGAAGCUCCUAGCUCCAGGACAGGCUGAAUAAAGGUCAUAGCUUUCUGCUCUUCCUACCUCUGCUUCUCGACUUCUACCCCUGGGCAAGAACCCUUGGCAAGGGGGCAGUGCUGCUAGGGCUCCAGGAUCCAGGGCUAAGGGGUGGGAUCGGGAAAUGAAGCUGGUAAAGUUCAGGUUCCUUGGCUGAAGGAUCUCCAAGUGGAUGAGGGGAGGAGGACCGGUGGACCAAGAGGGACCAUGUCUGGGUAGCCUGUUCCCUCUGCCUUCGAUUCUGGCCCCAGGAGCCAGUUCUUUGUCCCAUCUCUCUGAACCAUGACUCCAGACUAAUUUUUUUUUUCUCUAUCCUUUGGGUCAGUGACUGAGUUCCUCUACCAAACUCAUACAUAGUCUGUCCUUAGGCCCAGACAUUGCCUAGGUUUGUUCCCUGCCGUCCUGUGUGUGUGUGUGUGUGUGUGUGUGUGUGUGUGUGUGUGUGUGUGUGUGUUGAUGGCAGAGUCUUGACAGCAAAGAACUUGGGGGACAUUAAGCCUUGGGUUUUCUCUGAUCUGGAGGAAGGCGGGGUUGUGUGAGAAGGGCUGAGGGCAGCUGGUCUGACCCACCCCAUGGCAGCUGGGCUGGGAAGUUGGGGAGGCAGGAAGCCUCCCUUCCCCUUUUUGGAUUCUAACUUCCCUCCCUCUGGCCUCUCUGCCUCCUGCCAGCUUGGGUGGAACAGUAUCCAGCACAAAGGAAGAGGUAUAAUGGGCACUGCCACUGGUCAGAUUGGGAAACUUGUCAGGACAGAGGACUUCUUGGAGUCCCUUACAUCACCCUGCUGGAUCUCAAAGAAGAAUGAAAGCCUUUGACUCUGGGCUGUUUUGAUUCCCCACUCCACCACUGCCUGCCUGAACAUCAUGGGGACACGAGGACAUCCUCUGGGCACUGAGGAAGGAAAACUGAAAGAGGCUGGGGACCAACCGAGAAAACCAAAGCCCGUGAAGAGGAAGUGCUGGCCGCUGCUCUGUCUGACCCGCUAACAUGGCCUUUGGUCAGGCCUGUAUCAGCUUCUCCAGGCCAAUGCAGCUGCUCACUCGAAUGCUUCAGCCACACUUCCGGUGCCCGGCUUGUGGGGACUAUAGAGACAGAGGCUGCCAGCACCAGUAAACAGAUGCUCUGGCCAUGGCUACUCAGAUGAGCUUGGUGUCAGCAGCAGAAGGAAGGAGGCCUUGCUGACACAGCGACCCUGAGAGCUGUGGCCAUGGUGUUUCCAGGGUAGCAACACCAUACCUUCCUUCUGCUCCCUUCUAGGAAAGCCUGGGUUGUCUGGGUUCCAGGGAGGGGGCGGGGCAUAUUUAAACAGGGUGGCCCUGGGGUUUGAGACCUCCCCCCUCCCCAUUGCCCGCCCACCACAGGCACAGGCACAGGUGAAAAGCAGGAGAGAAAGAGAUUCUGGGGGCAGCUUAGCAAUGUGUAAUGAAAUUCGAACUGUGACAGGAGUCGGUCGCUUCUGGGAAUUGACACCAAGGAAAUAAGAGUUCAUACAAGGUGUGUGCACCAGGACGCCGAAUCUCUGCCUCCUGCAGGGCUGAUACUGCUCUUAGAGACUGGAGCAGUCACACAAUGGAGAACUUGUAUGCUGUUCACACAGUGUGGAAUUAUCAAUAAAGCUGCCAAGAGCACAUGUCCUUUAGCUG
Molecule: non-coding RNA, 12668 nt
Organism: Rattus norvegicus (Norway rat)
Lineage: Eukaryota; Metazoa; Chordata; Mammalia; Rodentia; Muridae
Source: RefSeq, a predicted model, not a curated record